UGGAUCCAGACUUUGAUUAUGGCUCAGGACGAACGCUGGCGGCACGCUUAACACAUGCAAGUCGAACGGAGAAUUGAUGGUUUACUAUUAAUUCUUAGUGGCGGACGGGUGAGUAACACGUGAGCAACCUGCCUUUGAGAGAGGGAUAGCUUCUGGAAACGGAUGGUAAUACCUCAUGAUAUAAUUUUAUCGCAUGGUGAAAUUAUCAAAGAUUUAUCACUCAAAGAUGGGCUCGCGUCUGAUUAGAUAGUUGGUGAGGUAACGGCUCACCAAGUCGACGAUCAGUAGCCGGACUGAGAGGUUGAACGGCCACAUUGGGACUGAGACACGGCCCAGACUCCUACGGGAGGCAGCAGUGGGGAAUAUUGCACAAUGGGGGAAACCCUGAUGCAGCGAUGCCGCGUGGAGGAAGAAGGUUUUCGGAUUGUAAACUCCUGUCUUAAAGGACGAUAAUGACGGUACUUUAGGAGGAAGCUCCGGCUAACUACGUGCCAGCAGCCGCGGUAAUACGUAGGGAGCGAGCGUUGUCCGGAAUUACUGGGUGUAAAGGGAGCGUAGGCGGGAUUGCAAGUCAGAUGUGAAAUGCAGAGGCUUAACCUCUGAGCUGCAUUUGAAACUGUAGUUCUUGAGUGAAGUAGAGGUGAGCGGAAUUCCUGGUGUAGCGGUGAAAUGCGUAGAUAUCAGGAGGAACACCGGUGGCGAAGGCGGCUUACUGGGCUUUUACUGACGCUGAGGCUCGAAAGCGUGGGUAGCAAACAGGAUUAGAUACCCUGGUAGUCCACGCUGUAAACGAUGAUUACUAGGUGUGGGGGGACUGACCCCUUCCGUGCCGCAGUUAACACAAUAAGCAAUCCACCUGGGGAGUACGGCCGCAAGGUUGCAACUCAAAUGAAUUGACGGA
This 901-nucleotide ribosomal RNA is filed under the name uncultured Bacillota bacterium. RNAcentral describes it as "bacterial SSU rRNA". It matches the Rfam family "Bacterial small subunit ribosomal RNA", at positions 1 to 917 of the family's 1533-position model. The record is from RNAcentral. Lineage: Bacteria; Bacillati; Bacillota.